AAAAAGUUGCCGAGGACGAUAUCUUAAACAAGAGAUCUUGUGUUAGUGGAGAGAUCUCAAGUUUAAGUCUACCCAAAACAUUUAGUAGGAAAGGAAAGAAGAAAAAUGAGCCCUCCCAGGAUGAUAAGGGAAGUGUUAAUGAUGAACCUUCGAGUCCGGAAAUUAUAGACGAUACUGGAGUAGCUGACCAACAUAGGCACAUGGAGAGGACAGAUAACGGUUUCUCGACCAAAGAUUCUGUGUCAAUUACAACCGGUAAUAUAACUUCUAAAACUUCUAGUGCCGGUGUAUGCNUUUAAAAUACGUGUAAAAAAAUCAAAGUUAAAAUGAGACGGAGGGAGUAUGUUUUUUCUAUAAAUGAAGAUAAGUAGUAGUAAUAUGUUUAGGAAUGAGAUCGCCGAGUUAGAGCCGAAUUCCGGGUUGCACAUAAAAAGACGAACACAAAUAAUGAUUGCAAUACAUGUGUGUAUAUAUAAUAUUUACUAUUCCCUGUAUCCAAGAAGUCAGCAGGAUAUACAUACAUAAAUACAUAUACACACAGCGGUAACCCUAACUACCGACUAACAGAUUUCUCUUCCAAUCUGUUGAUGCCUGCUGCUCGACGACUUUUAGUUACGGCGUCGUUUAAUUCACACCUGGUAAUUGAAUCUCUGGUCUCUUUUCGCUCUGUUAAUCCACUGAAUUACAGCUAUCAUUGCAAUACUAACGAUCAAUUAUUGUUGUUGUGUGUGUAUUAGAUUAUUGACUUGCAAAUUUUGAUUUUUAAGUUAUAUUUGGGGUUGACAAUGUGCAUUUUGUACGUUUUUAGGGCUAGUCGUUCACUAAGUUUGAGUUUUUUGUAUGAAUUUGUGUACAAGUAGUGUUUAAUUGGUAAUUGGAGUUUUGAUAAAUCUGUUUUGUUUACUUGAAUUUGAGGUGUUCUAUGCACCGUAUGUUGGUAACUUGUAGGUUUAGGAUUUCGGGAUGUAAAUUGUGCACAGAAUGCACGAUUUAAUUGAUUUUGUUUGGAGAUACAGGCUUGUCAAUUGUGAUGCUUUGAGGAUUUUGGUAGCACGAUAAAGGGUUGACAUGGCUAGCGAGAUGGUUAUGGGUGAGGAAAAUGUUAGUGUUUCAGGAGAGGGAGGUUUAGUUGCGGAUCGUGAAUGUGGUGUUGAGAAUUUAUCAGUUUCAAUGCAGUCAUGUGAACCCUUUUGUACAGCUCAAGUUGACUCCUUGGAGAGUUUCGUGGGUGCUUCUGAUACAGUAGGGGCUAAUGCUAUUUCCGGUGCCCUUGAUAAUAUUAGUAUAGCAGAGUCCUCAAGAGAAAAGCAGGAGGAGAAAGAUACUGUUGGUAGUCAGGAUUUUGCUUCUGAGAGUACAGUUCAUGAUGCUAUUUGUUCGUCACUUCGUGCAAGAAAUAGCACUAUUAAUGGGCCACUGUUGAAAACUGAUACUGCAAGGCCUUUGAGAAAGUGCAAGAUGAUAUCUAAUAAAAAAGUUUUUCCGGGUAUUGAGAUAUUAGAGCUUGCAAGGAGGAGGAGGAGUUGUUUCUCCAAUAGACCUCGUGUAUCUGAUUGGGGAUCACUAGAAACUAUUGGACACGUUUUUAAUGUGUUUGAAGAUGCUAAUUUGGAUCAAAUUGAGCAGAAAGAAUCAAGAAAAUGUAGUGGUAGUAAGGGAGAGACUAAACGAAAGAAUAAUCGGAGACGCACAAAUUCUCUCGGGACUAAAAAAGAAAUUCCUGCUUCAACUGGUGGCAUCCGUUUGACAGUCACAUUUGGCGAUAUCAUUCCCGGUGUUGUUGAUGAUCAUAAAAGUUCUUCUGGUAUGCAGAUUAUAUCUCCUAAAUAUAAUAAAGAUUUUGAGAAGAAGUUUGAGGAAGGGACUUCUGGUACCCUUGAUGGUCAUGGCGGAAUUGGUGCCCAGACACAGGUUGGUCUAUCGGAAGAAGCAGUAGGAAGCAGGUGCUUAGAUCCUGGGACUUCACCUGAUUCAGAAGUUAUAAACCUAAUUGCGGAGAGCCAAACUGAUGAAAAAGUUGCCGAGGACGAUAUCUUAAACAAGAGAUCUUGUGUUAGUGGAGAGAUCUCAAGUUUAAGUCUACCCAAAACAUUUAGUAGGAAAGGAAAGAAGAAAAAUGAGCCCUCCCAGGAUGAUAAGGGAAGUGUUAAUGAUGAACCUUCGAGUCCGGAAAUUAUAGACGAUACUGGAGUAGCUGACCAACAUAGGCACAUGGAGAGGACAGAUAACGGUUUCUCGACCAAAGAUUCUGUGUCAAUUACAACCGGUAAUAUAACUUCUAAAACUUCUAGUGCCGGUGUAUGCUUU
This 2307-nucleotide long non-coding RNA is filed under the name Daucus carota (carrot). Its description in RNAcentral is "long non-coding RNA (DCAR_LNC003369)". The record is from RNAcentral. Lineage: Eukaryota; Viridiplantae; Streptophyta; Magnoliopsida; Apiales; Apiaceae.